RNAcentral lists this ribosomal RNA (447 nucleotides) under uncultured bacterium. RNAcentral's name for it is "bacterial SSU rRNA". It matches the Rfam family "Bacterial small subunit ribosomal RNA", at positions 328 to 793 of the family's 1533-position model. The record is from RNAcentral.
AACCCAGACUCCUACGGGAGGCAGCAGUGGGGAAUAUUGCACAAUGGGGGAAACCCUGAUGCAGCGACGCCGCGUGAGCGAUGAAGUAUUUCGGUAUGUAAAGCUCUAUCAGCAGGGAAGAAAAUGACGGUACCUGACUAAGAAGCCCCGGCUAACUACGUGCCAGCAGCCGCGGUAAUACGUAGGGGGCAAGCGUUAUCCGGAUUUACUGGGUGUAAGGGAGCGUAGACGGCAAUGCAAGCCAGAUGUGAAAGCCCGGGGCUCAACCCCGGGACUGCAUUUGGAACUGUGUAGCUGGAGUGUCGGAGAGGCAGGCGGAAUUCCUAGUGUAGCGGUGAAAUGCGUAGAUAUUAGGAGGAACACCAGUGGCGAAGGCGGCUUACUGGACUGUAACUGACGUUGAGGCUCGAAAGCGUGGGGAGCAAACAGGAUUAGAUACCCCCGUAU